GACGAACCUUGCUAACGUUAUUCGGAAUUACUGGGCGUAAAGGGUGCGUAGGCGGCGCGGUAAGUCGGGUGUGAAAUCUUGGAGCUUAACUCCGAAACUGCAUUCGAUACUGCCGUGCUUGAGGACUGGAGAGGAGACUGGAAUUUACGGUGUAGCGGUGAAAUGCGUAGAUAUCGUAAGGAAGACCAGUGGCGAAGGCGGGUCUCUGGACAGUUCCUGACGCUGAGGCACGAAGGCCAGGGGAGCAAACGGG
RNAcentral lists this ribosomal RNA (253 nucleotides) under uncultured bacterium. Its description in RNAcentral is "partial 16S ribosomal RNA". It matches the Rfam family "Bacterial small subunit ribosomal RNA", at positions 524 to 776 of the family's 1533-position model. The record is from RNAcentral.